GUCCCACAAAACACGGUAACAUGACGUAAACGUUAGUAAUGUUUGAUCAAACAAAAACACCAGGGCGGUGAUAACGCCAUCAUAGUAUUUGUCUUGUCUAUCUGACGUCCCAGCAGCUUCCUCCGAAGGGCGGGAUUUAGCAGACGAACAUGAGUGACAAAAAGUCACGUGUCACUCUUGUCCCUGGGGCCAUUGGCAACACUGACCAGUCAGAACUUUGGCACCGCCUCAACCAGAAAACCCCCGGAGACCACCAGGACAAUAUCACAGAGAAACCGACGGAGCCCAAAGACAAAACCGCGUAUCCGCCGUUGGCCAAAAACACGAAAACAAUCGUUCCGCCAGACGGUACCAUCAUCCCCCCGCCCACUGCUGCUGACAUCUUGAAACAAAAGCCCAAGGCAGUCAAAGACUACUGCACGCCCGUCCAGUACCAGAACUUGCCAAACUCAGACAACUCACAAACAACCCAAAAAACCAAGGAAUCUGAGCCUAACCUAAAGAAGACAGAAGUCCCAUCUGAAAAUAACACCCGAAAGCUAAUUCUUCAAGAGCAGGAUCUAACGAAUCAGGAAUCCUAGAGCUGCACCUUGUCAUUGAUGUGCACACAGCCGAGUUAAAUCAGUAACUGCGUCAAGCCACCACCGUCACCAUCAAGAACUCUCACCAUGCCUACCCUGGAGGGCAUGCACGCCCCUGGCAACGAAAACGCCCACCUCCUGCCACCUGCCGGCUACAUCAACCCCAUACCAAAGGAAGUGUACCGCUUCAACAGGGUUGUCCCCCACUACCCGCCCGAUCCGUGCAUCCAUCCGCACGAAGGAGACGUCAUUUGCUUGCCUGAUGAACCAGCGGUCAUGAGAAAUCAUCCUUGCAUGCCAACAGCCGGGAAAGAUGUACGCAUGCAAAGUGACACCUUCCGGUUUCAUAAAGUCUACCCGCCCACCGACAACAUCCCCUGCCGGUCAGAAGGCAACAACUGCGUUGCUUCAGCGCCGAUAACUCAGUCAAGCACAUGCCCGUGUACCCACAGAUCUCCGUACGCACCCAGCAAUCCCAGAAGGCAUUUCGACUACCGCUACCCCAGCGGCCCCACCACUAUACAGCGGCAGGGCUUCGCGCCAGACGCCUGCACCCGCGUUGACCCGUCCCACAAUUUGGGACACAGCAUGGCCGUCGGGGGUAUCCAAGUCAAUAUCCCGCCGCCCAGACAGUAUCAUCCACCUCCAAAUAAUACACCAAUGGCUGGCUGGCAAGGCUAUGCGUCAUCGGGUGCUGCGUUUGGCCAAGCCACGCCCCCUAAUCAGUACGCAGUUGUUGGUGAUAUAACACACGGGGGUGAUUACGUCAUGUCCGGCCGAGCCAAUCCAAUGGCACGUAACCUGCUGACCACUCCGGACCCGAACUGUGUACGCCCUUACAAUCCAGCGCCCUAUGUGUGUAGACCAGUUUAUAACCGGAAGUAUCUGUUAGAUUGUCCUACACAAGAUGGCCCCCCGGCUGACACUUACACAUUUUUAUAAGAACACUACAUACUACAUUUUGUUCACAAGUCAAAUGACCGGCAGAUAUGAAGACGUGAAGAAUAUGUCCACCACUGGUCGCGACGAAGCCGUACGACCUCAAGUACAUGAGCCCUGGUUGUGCUGACAGGAAACCCACGCCCCAUUUCGUCACGCCCUACUUCUACGAACCGACCCCCUUCAUCAAAUGGCCGUCCACCAGCCCCUACGGACCCAGCGUGCACCGGGACACGUGCAGGAGACCGUUCUCCAUUGACCUACUGCCCCAGUGCCCUAAUUCCAACACAACCCCAGAACCUAACCUCGCAAUGUUUCUUAGCUGCUACGGAAGGCCAACCGAUUGAAAUACACCAUGCCUACCUUUAAAUAACAUUUUGUUUUUACAAAACAUGCAUUAUCAAUAACGGAACAAUACGUUAAGACUGUGAAGUAUGGACAAAACAACAUCAAAUCUAGAACAUUUGCACAAGUCAUUUGUAAUGCGCAACGAAUACAUGAUGGCGUUA
Molecule: RNA transcript, 2029 nt
Organism: Physella acuta
Lineage: Eukaryota; Metazoa; Mollusca; Gastropoda; Physidae
Source: RefSeq, a predicted model, not a curated record